CCAACCGGUUACAUCCACCUUUUUAACCCCCAAACAUAAUCGUCUUCUGUUAACAUCGAUCCAAAGUCUUUCCCUCCUCUGUCUUCUAUUCUCUCCCCCGUCUUCUACCCUAAGUAUCUGUAAAAUGUCGACUUCGUCUGCCAAAUCAAGCUUCCAAGGUGGUCCAACAUUGAGAAAGAAAAGAAUAGUUAGAUGUGGCUGUGGAGAUGUGUGCAAGGUAUUUGUUGCUCGAACACCUGAGAACUAUGGAAAGAAGUUUUACGGGUGCCCUAAUUACAAGGUAAACAAUUUGCCCUAAUUUGUAAAUUUCUUGAGAAACCUUGAAAUGGUACAAUGAAGAAACCUUAAAACAAUUUGCCCUAAUUUGUAAAUUUGCCUUAAUUUGUAUGUAAUUCAUACAAAUUAUUGUUUUUUCUAGGUGGAAGAAGACGACUGUGGUUUUUUCAAAUGGUACAAUGAAGAAGAUGGCCACAUUAUCGACCCAACUCACACAAAGCAG
Molecule: long non-coding RNA, 499 nt
Filed under: Lactuca sativa (garden lettuce)
Lineage: Eukaryota; Viridiplantae; Streptophyta; Magnoliopsida; Asterales; Asteraceae
Description: long non-coding RNA (LSAT_LNC008707)
Source: RNAcentral